AAGUCUCCUUUUGGGGGCAGGCUUCGGCAGCCGAAAGGCUUGCCUCCCCAGCCAUGUUCGGCGGCCGAAAGUCCUUCGGCUGCCGAACCUGGUUUCUGCCAAAGGGCAGAAACUUGGCUCCUUUUGCACAUUUCGCCUCCAAACCUUCCAAACAUGCAUCAAACCUAUUCUACAACACACAAACACAAGCAUACAUGUUCCUAGGGGCCACAAAUCAUCAUAAACCCCAUCUACAACACAUCAAGCACACAUUACAAGCCACAUUGCUCA
This 270-nucleotide long non-coding RNA is filed under the name Manihot esculenta (cassava). Its description in RNAcentral is "long non-coding RNA (MESC_LNC012495)". The record is from RNAcentral. Lineage: Eukaryota; Viridiplantae; Streptophyta; Magnoliopsida; Malpighiales; Euphorbiaceae.